Long non-coding RNA from Myotis daubentonii (Daubenton's bat), 9986 nucleotides. RefSeq lists it as uncharacterized. The transcript has 2 exons. The record is from RefSeq and is a predicted model, not a curated record. NCBI's taxonomy places the organism in Eukaryota, Metazoa, Chordata, Mammalia, Chiroptera, Vespertilionidae.
GUGGUCCCACUGAUGCCUGGUUUUACACACCAUGAAAGGAAAACAUUUUAUAAACCAAAACAAGAGCUAUCCCAUCUUCUCACUCUAGAGAUCAAGAGCACUCACAAUCUGCAGACUCCCUGAGUGGUGGCUCUCUGAGCCUAUAUGAAGUCAGGCUCCACACAGUCUGAAUGUUUCAACAAUCACUGGCCAGCCUGCACUUCCACUUGCAAUGGCCUCAAGGUUUUCAUUUUUGUUUUAGUUUUGUGUUUCUUUAAACUGCAAUUCACAAUAGGAAAUAACAUUUUAUAUUGUGACCUAGUAUACACACACAGUAUAUAGAGUAUUUAACAAUGUUUGAUCUUGCUCCAUGCACAGCUCUCUUCUUUUCUAUUCCACUUUUGAAAUAUUCAGGGCUUGAGCUGUUAGACUGAUUUCAUGGACCACUAAUGGGUCAAGACUUAUAGUUUGAAAAACAGUGCCCUUGAGGAUGUUGGUUGAUCUUGAGAAAAGGUAAAAAGUAAUGGCCCUGGAACCUAAAACAGAUUUCUCUGAAUGGUGUUGGCUGGCACACAAAACACCCACCCUACAUGGCUACUUCCACUUUCAUGGUGUUCAGCACACACCUUCCAACUUCUACCGGCAAACUGACCCAGUACCUUCUCCCAGUCUUCCUUGUACAGGGGCUCUGGCUUGGCCUGAAGGGUCAAUGGAUGACUGGAUAACUAAGGUGCAGAAAAGUCAGCACUGUGUCUCCUCAUUGUUUACCAGACAGAAAUAGGACGCUCCUUAGAGGAUAUUUCCAUGGGUGCAUAUGUGUUCACUGGGAUAAUAUCACCGCUACCCCCAUCAGAAAAAAAAUGAGAGAAAUAAUUAUGAUAGAAAAAGUUAAUAAAAAUUUCUUACUAAUUUGAGGCCACAGGAUAGUUGGAAUGGAUUAGGACUGUAGAGGAGAAAAGGGCCAGGGAAGGGACCAGAAAGUAACUCAGCUGUAUAUACAGAUGAUGGGAAAAACCACCCGGUCUCACUUGGGAAGGAGCAACUGACAUUCACACUGUAAUAGGGGAGCCUUUGGAGACGUGCACAUGUUCUUUGGUUCAGAAAGUAUUUUAUAGAAAUGAGGAAAUCACAAGCUUCUUUUUGUACCAGAAAUCAACAUUGCUAUUUCUAAUAAUCACAGCUUUCUGGAGAAGAGUUGGCAGGAAACCAAACUCGGCCUUGGGUUUUACACAACAAUCAUGGACCAGAAUAUAUGCUGGACUAGCAUUGAGGUCCUGGAGCCACAGCUGACACCUAAUACAAAGAAAGAACUGACUUAAAACUCAGGACCUCAUUUCAUAGCAACUACUAAACAACAAGCUUAACAUUCUCAACAAGCUUAAAAACUUCAAACUAUCGAACAACAAAGUUAAAGUUUUCAAAUAGAAAGACAUUAAGUGUAGUAAAGUAUAAUUCAGGGCACUGUUUUCAAAUAUAAUAAGAUUAUAGACUCUGUUACAUUCAAGAAAAAGAAUACAGAAUCAAAUACAUAAUUGUAAUGUGUUAACGCUAAAAAGAUGAUGCAUCAGAUCUACUGUUUCAAUGAGAACAACCUAAGACAAUUGAAAAACUACUGCUCUUGACACUGUAGGUCUUUCUACUUUAGAAACAGAAGAAGGGACAGGAGGUACUGACAGGUAGAGGACUGGUGAGAAAGAGUAAGAAAAGACAUUUGGAGGUUCCUCUUGGUGAGGGAACAGAAGAGGCGUACUGGCUCUGCAAAGGGCGAUAGUUACAGGACCCACUCCUGCUGGCCUCCUGAGGGCACCAGAAGACUCUCUCUGCUAGUCUUUCAGGCUUUUGCCCUUUAUCAUGGGCCAACCAAGGAGUUAUGGGCCUGCCUUUUUGUUUUUCUGAGAAUAAAAUCAUGAGACUGGAGUAGGUAAUGAGGUACUUGGCUAAUGGCACUGAAUGGAACUCCGGGAGAGCAACACUGCGGAGGAGGACAACCUGCUGGAUUUUCUGACUACCUCUGCUCUCAGGUUUAAUUGUAAUGUCUGCAGAAUCGGAAGAGCUCAGCAACAGAGAAAAUGUGCCAUCAAGGGAUCACACAGUAUCAGGUGACUAGAAAUUUGUCAUCUUUCGAUUCAAUUUAUGUUCAGCAAAGAAAAAAACACAUUCUGGAGGAAAUUAUUGAUAAUAAACAAUGCAUUUUUAUAAUAAGAGGAAAAUCAAUAAUAGUGAGUAGCAGGAUUUGGUCAGGAAUACAUAUAAUUACGGUCUGGCAUGCUGUUUAUUUUAGCUUUUACAACAAAGCAAAGGGUUUGAGGAACCUUAGGAGCAUUUCACAAGUCUCUAGUCCAAAAAACAGUUUAUAAGAAUUUCAUGGCACAUACAACAUGCAUCAAAUCUGUAUUAUUUAAUAACUAAGAUGCUGUAUCAUUCUUUUCAUGGUUCACAAUCACACACUCAUCUUCUUUCACUUGAGAAAGCCCAUUCAUAUUAAGGUGUUUGAACAAAAACCAAGGAAAAAAACCCAUGACCUUAUUUUUACUAAUGAUUUUUGUUCUGAUGAGCUAUACCAGGGAAUGAUUCUCAUUUGAAUAACUAUAGAGAAAGCAAACUGUAAAUUUUCAAUCUGUUACCAACAGGACAGGUUCCUGGGUUAGACUGUAUGGUGCAUUCCUAUAUUGUGAGAGGGGUUAUCUGGUCUGAAGCAUAACUCCUAUUUAAGAUGGUGGGAAUUUUGUUUAUUUCAUCAUUAGCAGUGAGUAGAAAGUGGGCAUUGUUAAGGCUUCAGGAAUUUUCCUUUAAAGUGGCAAUCUAUCAAAAAUGUGAGCUGGGCAAACCAAGUAGAUCCCAUGGAGAUGGCUUGAGGAACUAUUUCUAAGGCAUCAGAGUUCUGAGGAGGGCUUUCUCUUUUGGGUUAUGACAUUCAUUUUACAAGCCUUUCUUAAGAUGAGGCUAGAAAGGAUAUUCAAUCUGUAUUAUAUAUAAAAAGAUUGUUUUUUAUAUUCAUGCUGUGUAUUUGAAGUACAGUUCAAACCUAUCCUUUAUAAAAAUAAGGAAAAUAAUAUCAAAAUAUUUAUCUGUAAGAAGAACAUGUUUCUAAAGAAAUCACCACUAAAGUUCUCUUGAUACCACUGAGGCAAUGUUUGAUUUGAUUAUUGAUUUGAUCACUCCCAUCACUUAUUCAGAGAGUUGGAAGUAAGCAUGAGAGAAGUUUAAAGUGUAAACUCGGAACAUUAAUCUUAGCUCCAUAUGAAGGCUAAUUAUGGGCAAUUUCUCCACCAGUGCAGAGAAUCACCUGGAGCAAAUAUUUAAAAAAUGUUUCUCUUAUAAAAUAAUUAGAAUUUUAAACCAAUGCAUGAUUCAAGUUAGAAAACCAGAGGAGUUGAAAUAUUUUAAUUACAUAGCUGUUUUACCUGAUUCUAACCGAUACACACACAUAUAUAUUUUAUGUACUUAAAAUUACUUCUGUACUAUGGUUCCCAAACAGGUUUAGGAAGGUACAUGGUAGAAGCUGUAAGGAUUAAUCACUGUGUCUUCUGGUAGUGUUCUCUGUCAGAGGGUUGGGGAAGGCUCUCUUGCUUCUUCUAGCUUUGUGAGGAUCCACUGUUGUGAGGAAAUAAAACAACAUAUGCUUACUUCUAUGAACUUGUAAUGAAACUCAAAAUGUACUGAAUGGAAAUAUAGAAGUGGGCUUCUCAGUUUAGUUAGGUGUAUAAUCAUAGCCAAUAAUUCAAUUUAUCUUAUGUAAGAGAUCAUUUACUCACUUAAAUGGCUCAGAUGACUCAGGGUCAAUGGCACUGAUUUUUUAUUUAACAGUAAGAAUAAUGUUGUUUUAAGGUCACUGAACUGGCAUGUUCAUCUUUAGAAUAAGAAAAGUAAAAUAAACCAUCCUGAGAGAAAGGGUAAUUUGGCAGCUGGGCUAACUCAGGCACAGUGUGCAAAUUACGUAUGCAAAACUCCUUCCAACCUAUGCCAAUUCUGUCCCAUAAACCUUCAUUAUUCCAGAUACAGUAUUCUUCUGAUUAAGAGUAAGUACAUAUUCUACAGUGGGUAGGAGUAGCAUAGCAACAUUCUUGAGCACUUUAGGUGUUCUCAUAAUAUAGUAUUUUCUAUUUUGAAAAGGUUUGAAAUCACAAACAUAAAACACAUAUGUAAUGCAAACCUUUCUAUCAAUAAUGUCUAUAAUCAUUGGGCUUGUGUGACUGAUAAAAGCCUUGGAGGUGACACUGGGUCAUCCCACUAUGAAACACUUUGGCAGAGGUAUCUGUGCUUCUUUACCUUAGUAAGAACCUAGUGGGAAUAGCUCUAGGAUGAGGAGAGAAGGAGAACUGAGCUCAGUAGCCUUUUCUGGAUGUUUCCAGCAGAGCUGGAAGAUUAAAAACAAACCUUCUGGGACAAAAAAACAUGGUGACAGAGAUUACAUGGAAAACGUAUUGCAGAGCAACUGAAAUAGGUGGUAAUGCUCUUCAACAAUGUGAAAGAUGGCCUCAAAGUCACACUUUUCAUUCUCUAGUCUGUCUCCCUGUUCCAGGCAACACACAUAUCGAGGCUCUAGUCACUUUCUUCCUCUUUCUUUGUAACUUGACCCUUUCAGUUAUCUACUGGUAGUAUGCCAGUGUGGCCUUGUAUCCCAAUGGCUGGAUGGAAAAUUGCACGGCACAUGCUAAAUGGUCUGAGGUUCCUAGUUUGGGGCCCAGAUGUGAGAGUGAACCGGUAAGUAGUCACACCCAGUCAGGACCAAUGCAGUAUGAGGGCAGGAGGCCCAGGGAUUCAGUAAAGGAGCCUUGUGUUCUUAUAAAUUUCAUGACACAGUGAGUACAAUUCAGUAUCAGAAAUAGCAUCUUAGUUUGAUUAACAAGACAGAUAAUCAGUCUGUAGUCUUCCUUUUUUUGACAGUACACCUCCUUGUAACUGCCAUAACCCCUAACGUAUGCACAGCGCUUUUCAGCUCACAUAAUUCAUAUUUUUCGGCAACUGAGGUUAAACGACUUCCCCAAGGUACCACAGUCAAGAAGGAUCAGAACCUGUCUUCAGACCUGGAUUUUCUGACUACAGGCUUGGCUCCUUCUGCUAUGUGCCAGGCUAUAGCAAUUGUUUGUAAAUCACCAUAGCUACACAGAGGAGAAAUCUACAAUGUGGGGCAUCCGUUCCUGCUGGAGCUGGUAGAUUAGCAUUAGAAUGAAAUAACUUCUUUCGUUUGACUUUUUCACAAGUAUUACAGUUAGGAUUUAAAAUCAGAUGGCGCCAUUUGACACAAAAAACAAGUAGGUGUGUUGAAUUCAAUCUAAUGAAAAGCAGUUUUGGCGAAAUAUUAUCUAGUCACAUAUAUUAAAACAGUCAAAGCAGAAGAACAUAAUUAAAAACAAACAAAACUUGUCUGCCUUAGAAACAGCCCAGCUUCCAGGACUAUGAAAAGCAAAGAUGCUGUUUUCAUAAGAGAACCGUUAUAUUUACCCUAGCAUCUUCUGCGGUCUUGAAGUUAAUUAUUUUUCCAAACUCUUUGGCAUGGAAUACAGACUUCACUCGUUCCUAUAAACAGAAUAAGUGACUUCAUUAAAAAUGAAAAAUCAGUUGUAGAAAUAUGAUAAAGAAAUGACAUGUAGUUUUAAAAACUGGUGCUUCAAGCGUCCAUUUUACACAAAUCACACACCUUAAAAAAAAAGCCAAGAAUGGGAAAUCAAGAAGAAUCAAAGACAAAUAGAAGAAAGAAAAGACUAAACAUUAACACAUCCAUUAUCACUAAACCUAAGUUAAAACGCCUUAGGUGUGAUGUUAUAGCUAAAGCCAUAAAGGGUUUACACAAAGGAUGGGAGGGAGGUAAGUUUAGGAGGAGUGCCACUGUUUUUCCCUCCAAAAAACUUUUCGGUGGUUCUUGAUAUCUGGCCAUGGAAUAAUGAUGAUUUUAGCUCAAAAAUGAUAUAUACAUAUGUGUGUACAUGCAUACAUACAUGCACAUGAUUAUGGGUGUGUGUGCAUGUCUGUAUGUAUCCAUGUAACUUCUGACAUUUUAAACCACUCAUUGAAUAAGAAUAUAGCUAAAGAUCAAAGAAAUCAGGGUGGGUCCAAGAUCCUAUAUGACAGUCUUCCAAAUUUUGCACUCCUUCAGUAUUCUGUUCAGUGUCUGUGGGGAGAACUGCCUCAUAUACAUACUAAAUAUUAGAGGGACAAACAGAAAUGGAAUUCUUGAGGAGGAGGUUGGUGUUUAACUGCUAUUAACUAAGGGUAGGGUCAUAGAAGAGGCAAUGUGGAGGUUUUUACUAGUCUAACAAAUCCUUUAAGUCAUUCCAAUAUCCAUGCAAAUAUAGACUCCAAAAGAAAUCAGAUUCUUUUAUUUUUUUUAAAAAAGGAUGACUACUAAUACAAUGUCUCAAGAAUAGGUAGAAGGGGCGGGGGGGAGGGGGCGAAAUCAAGGAGAUAAGAAGUUUAUUCAUGGAAAGAGGAAAAAAAAUGGGAAAAAAGCCAGGAAAGCAGUAAAGGCUAGAACAGGAUCUAACAGCCACUCUUCUUUAUUUCAUAGGUGGCCACAGGGCCUUUCAUUUUCUGAAUGAAUUAGAGAAAUUCUCAAUGGGAAAUGUUGGUCUAACAUCCCCCGGAACUAAUGUCUGGUCCACUCCCCCCACUCUCUGAACUGAGUGGUAAGAUUGGAGAAAUGCUCUUCACUGGCUAUGUAUAGGGAAGGACAGUUUUGCUCUGGAGGCCAGCCCAGAAGACAUUUGCUGCUUCUGCCUGCCUGUGCCCAGUGCCACUACUCCAUUAAGCACUUUCUGAAUCUCCUCUGGGUAACUAUUUCUCACCUUCUCUCACACCAACACUUCAGACAGAGCUGACCCUUCCUUCCUGGGAUUGAUUUAGGAAUAAGCAAGUGACCAAAGGUGCCCCAUUGUGAAGCUUUCAUUCUGCUGAGCUACCAGGAUAGAAGCCUGGAACUUCCCUGGCCAUCCUGUCAUCAAAAAAUAGCCAACUCGAGAAUGAAGCUGCCACUGAAGAAAGCAGAACCUAGAGAUGAGGGUGGCGCAGAAGAGGAGCAGGAAAAAGGAACGGAAGGCAGGGAGAAUAAUUGCUAAUGACAUCAUUUGAGCAUAUCUAAGUUAUAAGAUAAAGACUUAAGACUUUUCACUUUACAUGAGUCAAUUAAGUCUCUCAAAAUCAAAACAGAACAAAAAUAACCAAGAAAAAACUUACCUCGGUUGAGUCACAAUAUUUCCCAACACAGUCAGUGCCAAAGGGGCCCUACACAUAUGUUAUUUUUUAUCACAUAUACCUACUAUAUUACUAUACCUAUAUACUACUACAUCCUACAAUGCCUAGUGCAGUGGUCGGCAAACUGCGGCUCCCGAGCCAUUUGCGGCUCUUUGGCCCCUUGAGUGUGGCUCUUUCUAAGCCUUAGGAGUAUCCUAAUUAAGUUAAUAACAAUGUACCUACCUAUAUAGUUUAAGUUUAAAAAAUUUGGCUCUCAAAAGAAAUUUCAAUUGUUGUACUGCUGAUAUUUGUCUCUGUUGACUAAUGAAUUUGCUGACCACUGGCAGUGCAAUCAUUACAACUUACAAUGGAGUCUCUAUUGAUUUCCCAAAUGACUAGAAAUUCACUGUAUUUUACAUGAACACCCAAUGCCAGGCAACGUGCUAGCUGCUGGUAAUCAAAACAGAGAAAGAAAUGGCCUCUGCCUUCAAGAUUAUAACUGAAUUGGGAUAGGAAUGGGCUAAGAAUAUCUAUAAAAAGAGAAGGAACUAUCAACUAUCACCUGUUAUUUUGCAAGUGUCCUUUUGUGAGAUUUUCAAGGAAAACUAUUCUCCAUGGCACUGCUAGGGAUUUUGAGGUAUGCAAAUGAUUCUCUCAUUUUGGUGUCUUGGACAGCGGUGAGAGGGUAAGGUUCUAUUACUGAAUAUAAAAUAAGGACCCAGGAAUGUUGUUGUCAACGUGCAGCAUAUUUCUUCUUGGCCUACCUUUCUUUUCUUUAAACCUGCGUAAGACAGCAGGUAUAAAGGAAAACCAUAGGAAGAUAAAGCAACAUCUAUAAAAGAGAGGAAACUUACAAAAGUAAAGAGGACUAUCUCAAUGCGCUAUGUUCAGUUCCAAGUUUUAAAAAAAUCUAUUCAACGUACCUUUGCUUCAAUUCGCAAUCUUCUUCCAUGAACAAUGAAUGGCUCUUUGGUAAACUCAUCAAAACUGUACUGCCACUCACAUGUAAGCUGUCCAAAUGUUCCUUUUGUUACAAACAAUACCCCACUGCAAAAAAAAAAAAUCACUUUGAAAAUCUAGACUCUUAUAUCCAACAGUAUAAUAAUAUCAGGAUACACAUUCUUUUCAAGUGCACACAGAACAUUCACUGAGACUAUAUUCUGGGUAAUAAAAAACCCUAAUGAAUUUAAAAGAACUGAAAUCUUAUGAAGUCUGUUCUCAGAUCAUGAUGAAACUAGAAACCAAUUAACAGAAAAAUAUGACUAUUUCUAAAUGUUUAAAAAUUAGCAUACUUUUAAAUAAUCCAGGGGUCAAAAUAUCUCAAAUGAAAUUAAAAAAAUAUUUUUAACUCAAUGAGAAUGAAAAUAGAUCAUAACCAAAUUUGUGGGCUUCAGCUUAAUCAAUAUUAGUGGGGAAUUUAUAGCAUAAUAUACUUAUAUUAGAAAAAAUAAAGUAGAUAUAAAGUCAAAUAUAUAAGGUAUUUUAUGAGAAAUAUAAAAUAUUUGCAGAACCUAUUAUCAACCAAUAUUUUGGGGAACUUUCAUGUCAUCAAUACUACAGAAUAAACACUUUUAUUACUGAGGCUCCAUGUAAUAUGUUUACCAACCUACAACAGAAAGAGGCUUUUAAAAUUAAUUCUUGUUUUCUUUCAUUUGGAGGGAAAAAAUAAAGCAAUGAAAAUGCAUUCUAUAAUAAUUCUAUUUAAUCCUCCCUUCAAAGGCUUUUCUUCCCCAAUUCUUCCUUCUGGUUGAGACAUCAAUUGCAGGUACAACCAGAGGUUUCUUUAAGUAACAUAUACAUUAAGGCAUUGAGAUAAGAAAGAAAUUUACCUUUUGGUUAUCAUUAACAUAUCUGUUUUAUUGAUCAUGACAUGGGUAAAAUAUUUGUAUUUUGCAAAUCUUCCAUUUUCUAUGACCUAAAAAAGGUGAGAAAAAAAUCAAUAAUUAUUCCUAUUGUAAUGUAAGAAAUCCCUUAUGAUCUUCUAAAACCAUUUCUUAAUGGGGUCAAGUCAUUAACAUAUUUCUAUAGUAAAUAUAUCAUCAGAAAACUGAAUAUUCACAAAAUAAUUGCUCCUACUUGUUUAAAAGCACCUAUGUGCACUGCUUUAUUCAAGAUUACUCAAUUGUAGUUAUACCAAUCUUUAAUGCUGAAUUUUUAAAAGAAAUCUUAAUACCUUACAAACUCAGAGACAUAAGUUUACUAUUAAACUAUCACAUUCAUUUUAUCUUGGGAACUAUAUUAGUAUUUGAUCACAUCUAUACAAAAACACAUGUAAACACACAUAUUUAAAUAUAUGUAUCACAUAAAUUACUAUUAACUCUCAUCUUGCCCCUUCCCUGGAAUUUUCCUACCUGCCUUACAUAUAUGCUUUUCUUUCUCAAUCUCACAACUCAUCUACAUGUCCCUCCAACCAUCCGACCAGUCUCUAUGAUGUGCACUGACCACCGGGGGCAGACGCUCAAUGCAGGAGCUGCUGGCCAUUUACAAAGAAACGACACUGCAGAACUGGUGCCAACAAAACAACACUUGGCUUCCCCCAAGUGGGACACAGGCCCUGCCACCACCCCGGAGAGACAGCCCACCAAAUCGCAACCAAUGCUGCUUAGACCCCAUGGCACAAAAUGUGGCCCACAGCUCAGCCCAGCCCAGAAAUGGUGGCUGAGGGCGCCAGGUAAUGAUGUCACAUAGCAACACCCAGCUUCCUCUCCCUAGUGAGUAGCCUCCUUGGAGUUUCUUCAGCCCAGGAACAUGACUUGCUUUAUAGCCAGGUGCAAACAUUUCAAACUUUAACCAAAUGUCUGUGAAGCAUUUUCCCAUCUCAUUUGACCCUCACAGAA